This 259-nucleotide long non-coding RNA is filed under the name Vulpes vulpes (red fox). RNAcentral's name for it is "lncRNA (ENSVVUG00000020861.1)". Lineage: Eukaryota; Metazoa; Chordata; Mammalia; Carnivora; Canidae. The record is from RNAcentral.
GUCUUUGCUAUGUCCCUCUUCUGCUCCCCAGUGGCUUCAGGCUUGCUUCUGCUACCACUACCUAUGUCUCUCCUUUUCAUCAGAUUCCAUCAGCAACAUCAAGGCUGCCCACCACCUUCGUCCUGAAAGCACCAUGUGCUUUUCCACAGCAUCAUUGUGCAUGAAUGGAACUUCAGAUUUACUGGCUACACUUCACAACCUUCUCUCAGACUUUUGCCUUUUCCAGAAUGACAUACCAUCAAAUAAUGCACAAAGCUAA